GACGAACGCUGGCGGCGUGCUUAACACAUGCAAGUCGAACGGAAAGGCCCUGCUUUUGUGGGGUGCUCGAGUGGCGAACGGGUGAGUAACACGUGAGUAACCUGCCCUUGACUUUGGGAUAACUUCAGGAAACUGGGGCUAAUACCGGAUAGGAGCUCCUGCUGCAUGGUGGGGGUUGGAAAGUUUCGGCGGUUGGGGAUGGACUCGCGGCUUAUCAGCUUGUUGGUGGGGUAGUGGCUUACCAAGGCUUUGACGGGUAGCCGGCCUGAGAGGGUGACCGGCCACAAUGGGACUGAGAUACGGACCAGACGCCAACGGGAGGCAGCAGUGGGGAAUAUUGCACAAUGGGCGGAAGCCUGAUGCAGCAACGCCGCGUGCGGGAUGACGGCCUUCGGGUGGUAAACCGCUGUCGCCUGUGACGAAGCGUGAGUGACGGUAAUGGGUAAAGAAGCACCGGCUAACUACGUG
Molecule: ribosomal RNA, 468 nt
Filed under: uncultured bacterium
Lineage: Bacteria
Description: partial 16S ribosomal RNA
Rfam family: Bacterial small subunit ribosomal RNA
Source: RNAcentral